AUGGCUGUAUGCUUUCUUGCCGGACAGGACCAAAUUCUAUAUGUGUGUAUUGCAGCUGUUUGCUGGGGAAUAUGGAAUGUGUGCAAUAAGGUCACCUUUGAGAAGCAUAAGAUGCAAUCCCCUAUGGAAGUUGUGUUCAUAAUCUGUACAUUUCUCUUAUACUGGGAACUGGGCAGGUUUACUCAAAAGCGGGGAGCAAGGCGUCUUCAGGGCCGAAGUCGAGACAUUGAUGAACGAGGCUACCACUCCUGCGUCUCUCAUGAGCUCGGCUUCUGCAGGGGGCGAGAACAUCUUGUAUUCCUGGAGGCCGAGUGCUUGGAGUAA
This 324-nucleotide ribosomal RNA is filed under the name Triticum aestivum (bread wheat). RNAcentral describes it as "partial small subunit ribosomal RNA". The record is from RNAcentral. Lineage: Eukaryota; Viridiplantae; Streptophyta; Magnoliopsida; Poales; Poaceae.